GAUGAACGCUAGCUACAGGCUUAACAUAUGCAAGUCGAGGGGUAACGAGAGGAAAGCUUGCUUUCCUUGUCGACGACCGGCGCACGGGUGAGUAACGCGUAUCCAACCUGCCACCAACUAAGGAAUAACUUUGCGUAAGUAAGACUAAUACCUCAUAAUUUCCUCAGAUGAGAUCUGACGAGGAAUACAGAUUUCUCGGUCGUGGAUGGGGAUGCGUCUGAUUAGCUUGUUGGCGGGGUAACUGCCCACCAAGGCAACGAUCAGUAGGGGUUCUGAGAGGAAGGUCCCCCACAUUGGAACUGAGACACGGUCCAAACUCCUACGGGAGGCAGCAGUGAGGAAUAGUGGUCAAUGGGCGGAAGCCUGAACCAGCCAAGUAGCGUGCAUGAUGACGUCCCUAUGGGUUGUAAACUGCUUUUAUACAGGAAUAAAGUUAGCCACGUGUGGUUAUUUGUAGGUACUGUAUGAAUAAGGACCGGCUAAUUCCGUGCCAGCCGCCGCAGUAA
RNAcentral lists this ribosomal RNA (506 nucleotides) under uncultured bacterium. Its description in RNAcentral is "partial 16S ribosomal RNA". It matches the Rfam family "Bacterial small subunit ribosomal RNA", at positions 28 to 523 of the family's 1533-position model. The record is from RNAcentral.